AUUAAUCAACCUUUACUACCAAAACAUUAAACGUCUAAGUUUCCAAAAUACUAUGCGCGCUUAUAAAAGCAUUGAAUAUGCUUUACUCUAAGGAAUCUGUAACAGCACCCUUGGAGGCAGUGCUAACGUUGCGAGCAUAUUUUAAAAGGGUUCCUUGUUGGUACUUCAAAGGAGGUGCCUUCCAAACACUGCGGCGUCUCGCCAUCUCCUUCUCAUCAACCAUCAAAUCUAAAGUGUUCUUUACAGCAUUGAUUUCAAUGACAUCGCCGUCCUGAACAAGAGCAAUAGGGCCUCCAACUUGUGCUUCGGGAUCAACGUGUCCAAUCAAAAAUCCGUGAGAGCCACCACUGAAACGACCGUCAGUCAAAAGUGCAACAUCCUUUCCAAGACCAGCUCCCAUAAUAGCACUUGAAGGCUUUAACAUUUCCGGCAUACCAGGUCCACCUUUUGGUCCCUCAAAACGAAUAAUGACGACAGUCUUCUCGCCCUUCUUGAACUCACCACGCUCUAAGGCAGCAAUAAAAUCGUUUUCGGCAUCAAAAACACGAGCUUUGCCGGUGAAGUUCAAGCCCUCUUUGCCAGUAAUCUUUGCGACAGAACCUUCAGGGGCUAAAGAACCACGGAGGACACGUAAAUGACCCUCGGUCUUGAUGGGGUUGCUCAAAGGUCUAAUGAUCUUUUGACCUUCGGCAAGGUCCUUGAAUCCUCGUAGGUUCUCAGCGAGAGUUUUACCAGUAACGGUAAUAUUAGAACCAUCGAUGAGACCUUCAGCAUGGAGAUAUUUAAGUACUGAAGGAAUACCUCCGAUAGCGAACAAAUCUUCCAUAACGUACUUCCCGCUAGGCUUCAUAUCGGCAAUAAACGGUGUACGGUUACUGACGGCUUGGAAAUCAUCCAAAGUUAAAGUGAUACCAACAGACUUAGCAAUUGCGAUCAAAUGAAGAACAGAGUUGGUAGAGCCACCAAGAGUCAUCGUCAAGACCAUAGCAUUUUCAAAAGCAGAACGUGUCAUGAUGUCGCGAGGUUUAAUGUCGUCAACCAAAAGUCGCUUUAUAGCACUACCUGCAGCUUCGCAUUCUGCAAACUUCUCAGGUGAGCCAGCAAGGUAAGAAGAAGAACCGGGUAAUGUCAUACCCAUAGCUUCGGCACAGCUAGCCAUUGUAUUUGCAGUAUACAUACCACCACAAGCACCACCUCCAGGACAUGCAUGACGAAUAAUGUCAUGACGGGUUGGCUCAUCAAUUUUUCCUGUGAUAAAUUCACCAUAGGAUUGAAAAGCAGAAACAAUAUCGAUGGGUGCAUUGUUCUGACAAGGAGAGUGACCAGCACGAAUACUACCGCCGUAAACCAUAAUACUAGGGCGGUUGAAUCUUCCCAUAGCGAUUAAACAACCAGGCAUGUUUUUGUCACAGCCAGGAAUAGAGACGUUGGCAUCAUACCAUUGACCUUGCAUGACGGUCUCAAUGGAGUCUGCAAUAAUCUCACGAGAUUGCAAACUAUAACGCAUACCAGUAGUACCCAUAGAAAUACCAUCACUAACACCAAUAGUAUUAAACUGGAAUCCGGUCAAUCCAGCCUUUUUGACACCUUCUUUCACUCGUCGACCGAGAUCAAGUAAAUGCAUAUUGCAAGGAUUUCCUUCAUACCAACAACUAGCAAUGCCGACUUGGGGUUUUUUCAUGUCCUCCUCAUUAAGUCCAGUAGCAUAUAACAUAGCUUGGGAAGCACCCUGAGACUUCGGACCAGUGAUUGUUUCACUAUACUUGUUCAAUUUCUUCUCGACUAAAUUGAUCGAAGAGGUUUUAAAGCCUUUUAGGCUUAAUGCAGCUCUUUUGCUAGCAAUACCGUUUUGACAACGGAGAAGCUUGCAGAACAUCAUCUUCUAAAAAAAAAAUUUCGCUUUGUUUAGACUAUAGAAAAUUUUCUACUAAGGGUCAACUCCAGGAUUUCUUCAAAUUCCCCUUUUAUAAAUAAUAAUAAACAAAGGAAAAUAUGAAAGAACAAACUUAUAACAAACUUGGUGUUAGAUUUAAAUGGAAUAUCUGCUGGUGACUUAACUUAUUCACCCUUGGUUAGUGGUCCUGGUAAAGUAUGCUAAACCGGAGAUGCGAAAUAUAAAACACGGUUUAUAUCUCGGUAAAUCAAACGAAUCAAGAGAAAGCCCAAUCAUUUCCUAAAUAAAUCAAUAUAAA
Schizosaccharomyces pombe (fission yeast) is the source of this 2192-nucleotide non-coding RNA. NCBI's taxonomy places the organism in Eukaryota, Fungi, Ascomycota, Schizosaccharomycetes, Schizosaccharomycetales, Schizosaccharomycetaceae. The record is from the annotation of a GenBank genome assembly.